UAGGGAAUCUUCCGCAAUGGGCGAAAGCCUGACGGAGCAACGCCGCGUGAGUGAUGAAGGUCUUCGGAUCGUAAAACUCUGUUAUCAGGGAAGAACAAACGUGUAAGUAACUGUGCACGUCUUGACGGUACCUGAUCAGAAAGCCACGGCUAACUACGUGCCAGCAGCCGCGGUAAUACGUAGGUGGCAAGCGUUAUCCGGAAUUAUUGGGCGUAAAGCGCGCGUAGGCGGUUUUUUAAGUCUGAUGUGAAAGCCCACGGCUCAACCGUGGAGGGUCAUUGGAAACUGGAAAACUUGAGUGCAGAAGAGGAAAGUGGAAUUCCAUGUGUAGCGGUGAAAUGCGCAGAGAUAUGGAGGAUCACCAGUGGCGAAGGCGACUUUCUGGUCUGUAACUGACGCUGAUGUGCGAAAGCGUGGGGAUCAAACAGG
Molecule: ribosomal RNA, 429 nt
Filed under: bacterium
Lineage: Bacteria
Description: partial 16S ribosomal RNA
Rfam family: Bacterial small subunit ribosomal RNA
Source: RNAcentral